RNAcentral lists this ribosomal RNA (67 nucleotides) under Oscillospiraceae bacterium. Its description in RNAcentral is "partial 23S ribosomal RNA". Lineage: Bacteria; Bacillati; Bacillota; Clostridia; Eubacteriales; Oscillospiraceae. The record is from RNAcentral.
AGGUCGGAGGUGUACGCACAGUAAUGUGUUCAGCUGACCGAUACUAAUAGACCGAGGGCUUGAACUU